This is a long non-coding RNA of Mus musculus (house mouse), 6061 nucleotides long. RefSeq annotates it as RIKEN cDNA 1700049J03 gene. NCBI's taxonomy places the organism in Eukaryota, Metazoa, Chordata, Mammalia, Rodentia, Muridae. The record is from RefSeq and is a predicted model, not a curated record. The transcript has 4 exons.
CAGCAGGGCUCCUUAGAUCACACAUCUGGCACCAACUGGGCUGACCCAGGCCCUGGUUCCUUCCAUGCAGCCCUUCAUGGAUGCUACAGUAGUAUGGGCAAUUUAGCAGGUCCUAUCUCAAAAUAUUAGGGGUGACAGUAUAACUCAGUGGGAGAAUACCAGCUAUGCCCUACACUUAAUAUCCAGCAGACACAGACACACACACACACAGAGAGAGAGAGAGAGAGAGAGAGAGAGAGAGAGAGAGAGAGAGAGAUCUGAGCCUGGCUCUCUUUAUUGGCCACUGUAGAAGUAGAAAACCAGACUGUUUAAGAUCAAACAGGAGGGUCAGGUAGGGCCAGAACUCUUUUCUCCAGGGUUGCCCACCAGGGCUCCUCCAAUGCCCUGCUCCCUGAGGGCUCCAACCCACCUGCUUGUGACUCUUCCAACUCAGAGCAAUCCUUCUCACCUCUGGGUUGGCAUCACUCACUGAAAAGCUUUAGCAGACCCACAGCUAGCUCUGUUCUGAUUUCAAGCAAUGCCCAUGGGCAACCAGGUGCUGCCUCACUGAUCUGGAGGUGCAAGGCAAGCCUCAGGCAGAAUGCCUGCCUUCCUUACCAGAGUCAGGAAUCCAAAUGGCCAGAGAGGGACUGUUCCAGGCAAGUGCAUGAACACGGCUAUUAUCCAGAGAACGAGAAGGACCCAGAAAAUUAGAACAGACUGCCAGAGUUAGUUUAAGGCCAAGUAGAGCAAUUCAGUCCAAAGCUGAGAGGAGCCAGUUUGAAUCAGUCAGCUUAGACAGGAGUUUGGGCCAAAACAACUGAGCUGAAUCAGCCAGCCAAGAGUUCAGAAAGAGCUAGAAAGGGUAAGUUUAUUCCAGCAGUAAGCCUCCAAGACAACAAUCACGUCUGAUGAAUAAAAGUUACAUUUACGUUUGGGAUGGGGACUUUAGCAAAAAAUUAAUUUUAGAAGAUUAUGGAAUCAGGUGAUAGAGAGAAGAAGAGAGGAAAAGGGGUAGAAAGGGAAGCAUGGAGUGCCUGCAGACGGUUAAAAGAUUCAUGAGGAGCACGCUGGGGCAGGGUUAGCAAGGAGGAAGGAGAUGCAUUCUUAGAGGAGGUUUUGCCUCUCUCUGAAUCUAGGGACCAGGAAAGAGAGCGCUUCUAGCCCAUGGGGCAGAGCGGCUGCUCUACAAGGGAACAGCAGUGUUGUAUCAGCUCCUGCAAAUGCCCUCAGGCCUGCUCACUAAGGUGGGAUGACUAAGAAGGGUCUUCAGGGCCUGCAGUGUGUGUGUGUGUGUGUGUGUGUGUGUGUGUGUGUGUGUGUGUGUGUGUGUGUGUGUGUACGAGUCACCCCUGUGAGACUCCCCCAGUGCAGCUCACUCUGUGUGUGUGUGUGUGUGUGUGUGUGUGUAUGUGUGAACGAGUCACCCCUGUGAGACUCCCCCAGUGCAGCUCACUCUGUGUGUGUGUGUGUGUGUGUGUGUGUGUGUAUGUGUGAACGAGUCACCCCUGUGAGACUCCCCCAGUGCAGCUCACUCUGUGUGUGUGUGUGUGUGUGUGUGUGUGUGUGUGUAUGUGUGAACGAGUCACCCCUGUGAGACUCCCCCAGUGCAGCUCACUCAACAGGGCUCAGCACCUGGACAAGCUCAAUAAACUCAACCUGGGUUUUACAGGUCAUUCCGCCUCCAGUCUGAAUUUUCAGUAAUAUUUUUAUAAACAUGCCGUGAAGUACGUGGACUAACCCAUCGGUCUCUGGCUCUUCCUGGAAUGCCAAGGUAGAAAUGGGGGCAUUUGUAUUGGUCCCUCAAUUGACAGUGAACUGUCAGAGCCUCAGUGGUUGGUCAGCUUAGCCUACCACAGAGAGUAAGGGACUUCAGCUUUCAGCAAGGCCCACUGGGGAAGGCAUGUCAGACACUGAGGAAACCAGACUGGAUUCUCAGAUCAACAUCACUCAUUUGAAGACUGAAAGUAGGGUGCAGAAAAACCUCAAGCCAACUUCAAGAGGGUCAUGCUGGGACCCAGGUGGGGUAGCUCAGUGGUAAAAUACAUGCCCAUCAUGUGCAAGGUCAUGGGUUCCAUUCCCAGCACUGCAAACAAGAAAGAGGGAAACACAAGAGACAGAGACAGACAGACAGAGAGAGAGAGAGAGAGAGAGAGACUUUUGCAAGGUCCACUCAAGUCCCCUGAGGGGAGAAGACCUUUGGAAAGCUACAGUAAGCAGUGGAGGAGACCAAACCAAGUCAUGAUGGGGCCAGCACCACAAUCAAAUGACCUGCGCUGUCACUCGGGGUCACCCAUACUGAAACUCUAUCCUUUCUCAACAGAACUGAACUUGCAUUGUGCACUGGGUCCCCCAGAUCAGCAUCUGAACCUGGGCUCUGCGCUGCAAGGACAGCUUUCUUGCCCGACAGGCAGCACACAUCCCCCUCCCUCCUUGAAGUGAGCACACAGCUAGCCAGGGGAGGAGCACACCACUCUUAGAUCAUGGGGUCUCAACACGGGGACUGCCACUGUGGCAGAGCUAGCCAUUGCCUCUCUCCUGAAAGUGGGGCUCAGGCUCUGGGGACGGAGGCUGUCAAAGCCUCUGGAGUAACAGGCAGCAAGUGCCACCAGUCAGCCGGAACUGGGAACAACACCCCCGGACCUAGGUAACAAAAGCCAGUUCUGUGAGUUCAAUGAUCAGUAUCAGUAAAACCGCUCAACGGGAACAAAGCAAACACGGUAAUCAUUUAAGGCUCAACCUCCGCCCUUAACCCCUAAAACUCAGAAAGGGCCAAUUCAAGGAUGAGGAGAGAGGGCCUUGGGAUGCAGCUCUGUGGGAAUUUGCUUAGCAUGCACGAGUCCUGGGUUCUCCUCCAAGCACCAAAAACAGGAAAGAGGGAUGCAGAAUUCUCCACCAGCAGCUGGCACAUGCAAUCACACUGGACAAACUGGAGAGGUGUGUUUUGCCCAAGGGGGGACCUCUAGUCAAGUACCAUUCCACCUGCAGACGCAACCACAUACAAACUGGAUAUAAAUCCUGGCCCUUAGGAGGUCAGAUACUGAUGAAAGGGAAGAGAAGAUGGCAGAAUUCGCUAAUUACAGAGCAGGUGCCUCGGUCAAAGGGUACAAUAAUGGCGGCAGGCAGAGGACAGUGCUUGCUGGUCCCACAUGCCACCUGGUCUCAUGUGAGGAUGUCGAUCAUACCCAUUUCCUAGGCAGGAAAACACACCCAAGUUAGGAAGCUGGGUUCCCCUUGGUCUUGAACUGGUGGGAAAUGGGGAUGUUCUAAUCACUGUACGCCCCCUGUGCUCCCCACUAUUAAAAGGUUUGACAAAGUGGUGGCUUUUCAAGAUUCCCCUUGUGCCCCAGAGCUAAGGCUUCAAUGCCAAUAGGCCAAACUCCGACUCCAGCUUUAUCUAUAUCCAUGCAAAGUGCUUUUGCCAGAGGGGUCACCCUCACCAGGGUUUAAAAGGAAGACUCAUUCACUCUCUUCAGUGACAAAGGGAUGGAUGUCAAGUUUGCUUAUAUAGUGGCUACUCCUAGAACCCAGUCAUGUGACACGUUCCCCCUCCCCCCCACACAUGCAACACUCCUCUGGCAAUUCCACAGGGUUGUGCCAUAUGCCACCCAUCCCCUAAUGAUAGUCCAAGUGGCAGGUGGCUAAACACUGGGUACAACCCUCAGCAAGCCGAUGAGUGGCCCUGUAUGUGGUAAAGGUCUGUAGAACGGCGGAGCCUUCCUUCACAGUGAGUCCUAGAGCUCUGCUAUGUCAACGUCUGAAAGAGAAGAAAGACAUGGGCUGGACCCACAGCUCACCCUGCGUGAGGAGAUCGAACGGUGGGGAAUCCAUUCUUACUGGUCUCCAGUGAGCCCCAGCAAGCAAGGACUUUCUCAACUGGCAUUAGUGGGAACCCUGUGGCACCCGGGCACUCAGGGCCUGAGACACAUCCAGAAAGCCCCAAGGCAGUAGCAGCCGAAAGUUGAGCGGUGUGCUCCUUAAAUAUCAAUGCCUUAAACUAGUCAGUAAUAAGCAGGCCCUGACAAGGCUAAAGCUGGCCCCAGCUGUUUUCCUUUUUUUUUUUUUUUCAUCUCACCUGCCCCCAGCCCCCAAACUUCCAACUGGAGCCCAGAUCUGCCCAGCCCUUCCAGCAUGCAGGCGGGGCAUGCAGGCGGGGCAGAGAACUGACAAGAUGAAGUAACCAGAACAGUUACUUCUUUAACAAACUCAAAAUCCCUAGGACUUGCAGAACCGUGUGGGGACAGGAGGGUUGGGACCCUUUCCGGUCAGCCCUGGGAGGUUUGAGGGGGGGGCCUGGAUGUGCCCACUGCCCUUCUUUCUGCAUGGGCACACUGUGGUAAUGGGUGUCCCUAAAACUGGCUCAAAGCCCUCUCGGUUCAAAGCUACCAUGGUCUGUAUGCUUUUGUCUAAGCCCAGGUAUGGACCCCGGGGCUACCUCAAGCAAGCAGGAAGCUGGUUUGCCAGAUAGUACCAGUGCCCAGAGUGAGCUAAAAACCACUUUGGCUGGUUAAGAGGUCUGAAACCAAUGUCCUCUCUGGGCCCUGACCCCAGGUUGCCCAUAUGCCACCACAUGAUCCGAAUCUUGGGCCGUUUUUAGAUUGGUUGUCACUCUGUUCUGCCUCUAUACACAUCAGUAAGAGGGGGAGGAUGAGGGGAAACUGUGACCAAUGGAGGAAUACCCGUUCUCUGGCUGUGGGGAGCGCUCACAGAUCUCCUCAGUCACAGAUGCCCUACUUCUGAGUUCCAUGUGAUGGAGACUGGGUCAGGGGUGCCUUACAAUCCCUGUCUUUCAGGUGGUGACCUUAUUUUUAGUACCAAUUUGCAAGAGGUGAAACCAAUAUUUUGAGCAUGCCCAGACACCUGCUGGGGUUAGCCAGCUGAGCGGUGAGGGGCUGCACCCUAAGCCUUUGCUUCUAACAUUGAGAAUCUACUAAGCAGCUGGGUAGAGAGGUACAGCCAGGCUUCUAAUCCUUUUGCUCCAAAGUAUCCCAACAGCCCAGAGCAUCUCAGAGCGUCUUAUGUCAAGGGAAUGUCUGGUGGGGAGGCCCUUCCCAUGCAGGCUUCCAGAAGGCCUGGCCCUAUACAAUGGUGUUCCAGGAGGCAAAGAACCUUCUGCAGAACCUCGAGAUCCCAGCAUCCUCCUCUUCCCGCACUGUCCCCAUGGCUUGCGGGAACAGGCCUCCACAUCUGGUGGCUGGCUGCACAGAGGGAGUGGUACUGGCCCAAGAAAGAAAAGUACAUUGCAGACAGGAAAAACCAGAAAGGUGGAGCUAUCUAAGUCCUCUGACCCCAGACAUGGAGCUAAAGGAUUGAGAUCUAGCUCGGCUGGGUUUCAAGUUUGCUCCAGGCCAGUACAUCCCAUUCCUGCUGUUUCAGAAUGCCCUGCAGGCGUGCUUACAGGAGUCUCCUCUCAAACUCGGGCAGCAUGUGAAAUAGUUCCAUGUUGAGUCUGCUGUCCCUGCAAGAGGUUUCCAGCCUUGCCAUCAUCUUCAGGGAUCACUGUCUUACACACCGUCUGCCAUCUUUCCGAGAAGAAUCAUAUCAUUUCCCCCUUUCUCUUUUCUUCCUCCAACCCUUCCUGUGCACGCACCCUUGCUCUCUCCCAAGUUCAUGGCCUUCAUUCUUUAAGCAUUGAUAUGUAUGUAUGUAUGUAUGUAUGUAUGUAUGUAUGUAUGUAUGUCAUGCCCAGUCCAUAUAAGUUCCUUGUAUGUAUAAGAUAUAAGAUUUAGGGAUUGGGUCGUGUUGGGUACACUCUGGGGGUUCCCCCCCUGUUUCUCCCGCUCUUGGCACGCCUUAGGUGUCUGUGGUUCUUAUCCUAGGGCUGAGGACUCAGGUGCUCCCUGCUUCCGUGUCAAUGGCUGCUGUCCCCAUUCAGGUCAUGCAGAGGCAGUCAUGUCGAUGAGCCUUUAUGGACAUAGCCUCUCUGACGUUUCUAGGAGGGGAAAUCUCAUAGCAGACUUCCCAGUUUGUCUAUGACAAACUGUCCUGCCCUCUUCUGUUACAGUUGAUAUUUUUGUACUAACCUUACAGUUUAAAGUUGCUAUAUUCAUUAGGAGGUUUGUUUUAGAACUAGGGAUUUUAU